RNAcentral lists this non-coding RNA (30 nucleotides) under Rattus norvegicus (Norway rat). Lineage: Eukaryota; Metazoa; Chordata; Mammalia; Rodentia; Muridae. The record is from RNAcentral.
UCUUUGACGUGUGUCCAUCAAAGAACAAGC